CGCGUAGUUAGCCGGAGCUUAUUCUUCAGGUACCGUCAUUUCUUUCUUCCCUGACUAAAGAACUUUACAAUCCGAAGACCUUCUUCAUUCACGCGGCAUUGCUGGGUCAGAGUUUCCUCCAUUGCCCAAUAUUCCCCACUGCUGCCUCCCGUAGGAGUCUGGGCCGUAUCUCAGUCCCAAUGUGGCCGAUCACCCUCUCAGGUCGGCUACGCAUCGUCGCCUUGGUGGGCCGUUACCUCACCAACUAGCUAAUGCGACGCGAGUCCAUCUCAUACCGGAUUGCUCCUUUUACCCCUCUGCCAUGCGGCAGUGUGGUCUUAUACCGUAUUAACUGAAGUUUCCCUCAGGUAUCCCGUUGUAUGAGGCAGGUUACUCACGCGUUACUCACCCGUUCGCCACUAGGAUAUUGCUAUCCCCGUUCGACUUGCAUGUGUUAGGCAUGCCGCCAGCGUCGUCUCGUAGCCACGGAGUCAAACUACUA
This 481-nucleotide ribosomal RNA is filed under the name uncultured Bacillota bacterium. RNAcentral's name for it is "uncultured Firmicutes bacterium partial 16S ribosomal RNA". The record is from RNAcentral. Lineage: Bacteria; Bacillati; Bacillota.